CUUUGGAGGGAUGAAUUUUUAACGCGACGAACAAAUCGCGUGAAAAUCACUCGCGAGGCAACGUAAUGCUGUGUAUGACGGUGCCCUCGAUUGAAAUAGUCGGGAACAAUAAUAAGCGAUUUAUCGAAAGACGAGGCCUUCUUCUCGACACCAUCUCGAGGGCUCCUGAAAGAGAGGCCUCAGCACGUUGCAUCAGCAGAUGUAUCAGAUAAACAAGACGUAGGUUAUCUCUUCGGAUUAAGCUGCUGCUAAUUUAAUUUCUUAUACAUUUUUAAAGUACGCCGAUUACAACGAUCGUUUAUAUUGCUCAAGAAUAAGAAUAUGAUGUAUUUAAUGUACGAAGGUAAUAUCGGAAACUUCAGCGAUGGCAGCCCUCUUCAGUCUCCUGUCUCCAGAUUCUCUCUCGUUCAAUACUGUGGAGAAGAUAGAAGGAGUGAAAUAAUGGAAAGAGAAAGGGGAGUAUGCUCUACCCACUCCUUCCCUUUAUAGUGCAUUCUAAGGGCUUUCCCCUUCCUCACUCGGCACUCGCCGUCUACCCGAGUCUCCGAAUGUAAUAGCUCUGACAUACACCCACUAGCACACGUGCACGUUCUCCGUGUAACGGUCGAACGAGGACUGGACGCGUCUGCGAAGGGCCUGGGAAAAUGACUGGAUAAUCGACGUCCUACCACGGCUGCCUUCGACGCAUCGCUCGUCUGUAUCUCGAACGCGAGCGGGGUCAUAGGUCGCCGCUAUAAACCCACCGAUGUUAUUACAGGUGCAUGUAUGAA
Non-coding RNA from Nylanderia fulva, 770 nucleotides. The record is from RefSeq and is a predicted model, not a curated record. Lineage: Eukaryota; Metazoa; Arthropoda; Insecta; Hymenoptera; Formicidae.